RNAcentral lists this long non-coding RNA (497 nucleotides) under Danio rerio (zebrafish). Its description in RNAcentral is "si:ch73-127k6.2 (ENSDARG00000096987.2)". The record is from RNAcentral. Lineage: Eukaryota; Metazoa; Chordata; Actinopteri; Cypriniformes; Danionidae.
GGGCACCCUCGUUUUAUUAACAGUAUUUUCCCAGCUGGAGGUGUUGAAAAGAAAGCUUUGGACUCGUAAAGAAGCAUCUUGACGUAUUCUCCUCGUGUGCACUAUUGAUAUUCUGAGGAAGGGAAGAUAAUCAAUGCUCGCUGACUACGGUGAAAAGCUGGAUGUCUCAGGUGCAGGACACCACUGAUACUGUGACUAUAUCAUGUAUGGAAAACCUGGAAUGACCUACUAGUGCAGUAUGACCUGAGGAUUUAUUCCCUGAGUGCUCCAUGCAAGCUCAACUCAAUUAAUGUGCCAGCGGUUCUGGCUGUGGGCCUGUUUCAUCUUAAAGAUGGAUCGCUGGGAAAACGCUGUGCGCAGGGCUUCUAAAUUCACCAAGGGAAUCCAGGUACAAAAGUGAUCAUUACCCUACAAACCAGUUUCCAAUGAACAAGGGCUUUUUAGAUGCAUGCGGCUGCAUGCCAUUUGAAUGCACAAAUACAAUCCAGAUCCAGUAA